RNAcentral lists this ribosomal RNA (497 nucleotides) under uncultured bacterium. RNAcentral describes it as "partial 16S ribosomal RNA". It matches the Rfam family "Bacterial small subunit ribosomal RNA", at positions 28 to 507 of the family's 1533-position model. The record is from RNAcentral.
GAUGAACGCUGGCGGCGUGCCUAAUACAUGCAAGUCGAGCGAACAGAUGAGGAGCUUGCUCCUCUGACGUUAGCGGCGGACGGGUGAGUAACACGUGGAUAACCUACCUAUAAGACUGGGAUAACUUCGGGAAACCGGAGCUAAUACCGGAUAAUAUAUUGAACCGCAUGGUUCAAUAGUGAAAGACGGUUUUGCUGUCACUUAUAGAUGGAUCCGCGCCGCAUUAGCUAGUUGGUAAGGUAACGGCUUACCAAGGCAACGAUGCGUAGCCGACCUGAGAGGGUGAUCGGCCACACUGGAACUGAGACACGGUCCAGACUCCUACGGGAGGCAGCGAUAGGGAAUCUUCCGCAGUGGGCGAAAGCCUGACGGAGCAACGCCGCGUGAGUGAUGAAGGUCUUCGGAUCGUAAAACUCUGUUAUUAGGGAAGAACAAAUGUGUAAGUAACUAUGCACGUCUUGACGGUACCUAAUCAGAAAGCCACGGCUAACUACGUG